UGUUCCCUUUAAUUUAUUUAUGAAUGCAAUAAUUCUAGAGCUUGACACAUCCACCGCAUGUGAUUGAUUAUGGAAGGAAUAUUUCGACUGGUGAAAUAAUUGUUUGAUCCCAUCAACUGCUUAAGCCUGGGAUUAGACUUUUCACCAUGAAAUCUUAUUAUAUAUGUACACUGAUUAAUGCAUUCACACCACAGAUUCACGUAUUCCUC
This 209-nucleotide long non-coding RNA is filed under the name Elaeis guineensis (African oil palm). RNAcentral's name for it is "long non-coding RNA (EGUI_LNC033887)". The record is from RNAcentral. Lineage: Eukaryota; Viridiplantae; Streptophyta; Magnoliopsida; Arecales; Arecaceae.